This 450-nucleotide ribosomal RNA is filed under the name uncultured bacterium. RNAcentral describes it as "bacterial SSU rRNA". It matches the Rfam family "Bacterial small subunit ribosomal RNA", at positions 1029 to 1486 of the family's 1533-position model. The record is from RNAcentral.
GUAACACAGGUGCUGCAUGGCUGUCGUCAGCUCGUGUCGUGAGAUGUUGGGUUAAGUCCCGCAACGAGCGCAACCCUUGCCAUUAGUUGCUACGAAAGGGCACUCUAAUGGGACUGCCGGUGACAAACCGGAGGAAGGCGGGGAUGACGUCAAGUCCUCAUGGCCCUUAUAGGUGGGGCUACACACGUCAUACAAUGGCCGGUACAAAGGGCAGCCAACCCGCGAGGGGGAGCCAAUCCCAUAAGCCGGUCGUAGUCCGGAUCGCAGUCUGCAACUCGACUGCGUGAAGUCGGAAUCGCUAGUAAUCGUGGAUCAGCAUGUCACGGUGAAUACGUUCCCGGGUCUUGUACACACCGCCCGUCACACCAUGGGAGCGGGUCUCGCCAGAAGUAGUUAGCCUAACCGCAAGGAGGGCGAUUACCACGGCGGGGUUCGUGACUGGGGUGAAGU